UUCUAAAUGUCAAGCUGGAAAUAACAUAACAUAGAUUAACAUGUUUGGUAUGUUAUUCAAAAAUCUAACAUCGACUAUGCAAGAAAACAAAUCUCAUAAAUGACUACGUGACAUUCAACGUCAUUUUGUCUUCCUCUUGCUCUUUCUUGUUGAACUUUUCCCCAAUUCCUGCAUAAAUUCAAAAAAAUAAAUUAUGUUCCAUACACAUACUAAGUAAAUUAACUGAAAAGUAUAACCGAUAACAAUAUAUAGAAAGGUGAAACAUCCAAACGAAUGUUUAUAUUGUUCUAUUCAUCUCUUCUCUCAUCUAAUAAAUUGGUGAAAAAUAAGUAAACCAAAAUUUCGUAUAUAUUCACGGAACAAUAAGUAUGAGUGCAUUAACAGUUUCUUAUUUAGUUGCUUUCUGGAUCAACCAUCUAGUCAUCCCAAUCGAUAAAUUUGGCAUACAAGCUUUAACUAGAUCUAAGGAUACCUGCAACAAAGACCAUUUGACAAUCCUCAUAUAAGUUUAGAUAUGUUACAGAGACACGCGUACACAUGUUAAAAUUCACAUAAUGAAAUACAUUUAUUCUCACUAGUUUCUUUAAAUAUUAGCUUUAGACAUAAGGAUCCCUAAAGAAGAAGUUUAACUACACGAUUCGUCAAAACAAUACAAAGACAUAAAAGUAAGAAGACUAGAAAACUCAAAAGCUUACCUUUAUAGAUAGAGGAUUCAUGAUAGAGCAAAGUAGUUCAAAUUGAAGAGGGAUGACCAAAAGCUCACCAAGGACCUUCUUUUGGAUUGAAUAUGCCAUAGCAAUAAAAGGGAUGUAUCAAGAUGUUUACAUUAGAUGCUAAAAAGAACCAAGGCACACUAAAGGUGUAGCAUGUUAGCAAUGUAUAUACUAAGCACCCUAAAACAUAUUACUCUCAUAGUGACAUUGAUUAGCAUAGAUGAUCAUUAUCUUGCAUCUCAACAAGUACUUGAACAACACUUCCCCAACAAAGAUAAGUUCUAUAAAAUUUGCUUCCAUAAAUUCAUUCUUGUAGGAUUCCAAUUAAAGUUCAUAUUAUCUUGCACAUUGAACUACUAAAUUAAGAAUAAGAGCACGGAACCUUCAUCUGUUUUAUGCUCUUUCAAACAUUUCCAGCUAUGCCCAGAAUAAUGACAACAACUAUCUGGAAAACGAAUACUCCUCCAGUCAAUUUGUCAAUCAUGGCAGCUUAAAAUGUAAGCUUUGGUUCAGGUACACUCCUACACAUGCCUAGUUUUGUCUAAUGGCCUGUAAUUAAAAAUAGAUGGAGAGUUAGCCCAGAAAUGACUUUGAUAUCUAUUAAUAAAGAAGCAAAGUAAUACAGCUUGCAGAAAUAAAAUGAAUGGCCGAGAUAAUGAUUUUCGCUUAAGGUCACACUACGUCAUCAUGAAUCUCUUUUACAUUUUUACUAUGGAAACUAAACCUAUAGACACUAAAUAGGGAUGCACUUUAUCAUGGCGUCUCAAGAAUCAUCCAUCUAUUUUAGUAAUCUUAUAUUUGAAGGCAAUAUGUUCCCAAGGAAGCAGUAGCAGACGUAUAUACCAAAUACCAUCACAAAAGCACACAUGAGCUCUAACUAGAAGGGGGGAAAUCAGAACAUAGAUAAAACAACCAUAUUACCAAUUUACAAGAAAAAAACAUUACCGUACUCAAUAAUUAGUAUCUACAAUCUUAAAUAAUUCUUCAAGUUCUCUAACCUAAAACCCUCAAAAAAAUACAAAAAAAUUAUUUUUUACAUCCAAUUUACAUUUUACACAGCAUCCCUCAUAACCAUAAUUACACAAAAAUGAAAGGAAUUAUAAUAUUCGAGCCCCAUUUUGGAAUUAGGGCAAACAGAAUAGCCCUUUUCUGAGGCAAAUAAGUGAACAAACAACUAACAUGAGGCUAACGAGCCAGCGGCGGUGAUCAUUGAGGAGGUUGGCCGUGCGCGUCGCCGUCGAACUCAAAAGCGAGGGGGAGGAAAUAGCGCUUGCUGCCGCCAGCAGCAGUGGGCUCUGAGGUUAGAGAACAUAAGAGAUGUUCGUUCUCUCAUUAGUUGGUUCCGCUUAGUUUAGGGCUAAAAUGUGU
This 2081-nucleotide long non-coding RNA is filed under the name Salvia miltiorrhiza (redroot sage). Its description in RNAcentral is "long non-coding RNA (SMIL_LNC008268)". The record is from RNAcentral. Lineage: Eukaryota; Viridiplantae; Streptophyta; Magnoliopsida; Lamiales; Lamiaceae.